This 528-nucleotide long non-coding RNA is filed under the name Cyanistes caeruleus (blue tit). Its description in RNAcentral is "lncRNA (ENSCCEG00000013103.1)". The record is from RNAcentral. Lineage: Eukaryota; Metazoa; Chordata; Aves; Passeriformes; Paridae.
UUCAUAUCUGAAUAUAUGUUUUUAUGUACCUGUCAAAAUUCUUUGGCAGUAGGCUUUUGACAGCACUGUGUAGCCCAACAGUCCCUUUCAAAUAUUUUUUCUGUUUUUCUAUUCAGGUGUGAAGAUUUCCUGCAAGAAGCCUCUCUGAGCUACGUAGCUAUGGUCCAGGAGGAAAAAGAGCCUUGCAAGAAUAAAGUAAUGGAUGAGAUACUUAAUUCUAUUUCUGUAGAAGAGUUUAGUAUUGGCCUUGCCAUGAAAAAAUGAUGGAGUUGCACUGCCAAAUGGAAACAGGAGCAGCUGUGCUACCUCUGGUCUCCUGAGUACACGAAGAAAGCAAACAGCAUUCUUUUAUUGUCCUGGCCUGAAACUGCAAUACAGCAAAGACAAAACUCUUAUUUCUUAAGAUUUUCUUAAGGUACGUUUAAGAAUGCCUUUUUUAAAGUCUCAUGCAGAGCUGGUGCACAUUGCUUAAAGGAAGACUGCAUGUGCUUACUUAAUGUGUACACAUAAGACCUCACAGCACUCUUU